UGAAAUGGUUGCUUUGCAGCCGUUUCUUAACUGAGAGGAUUGCCCCAUGGCACUCAGCGUUGAAGAAAAAGCCCAGAUCGUAACUGACUACCAGCAAGCUGCU
This 103-nucleotide non-coding RNA is filed under the name Pseudomonas sp. 9AZ. Its description in RNAcentral is "S15". It matches the Rfam family "Ribosomal S15 leader". Rfam says of the family: The E. coli Ribosomal S15 gene 5' UTR can form two alternative structures. One that is a series of three hairpins, The other includes a pseudoknot. The record is from RNAcentral. Lineage: Bacteria; Pseudomonadati; Pseudomonadota; Gammaproteobacteria; Pseudomonadales; Pseudomonadaceae.